GAUGAACGCUGGCGGCGUGCCUAAUACAUGCAAGUCGAGCGAACAGACGAGGAGCUUGCUCCUCUGACGUUAGCGGCGGACGGGUGAGUAACGCGUGGAUAAUCUACCUAUAAGACUGGGAUAACUUCGGGAAACCGGAGCUAAUACCGGAGAAUCUAUUGAACCGCGUGGGUGGAUAGUAAAAGACGGUGUUGCUGUCACGUAUAGAUGGAUCCGGGCCGCAUUAGCUAGUUGGUAAGGUAACGGCUUACCAAGGCAACGAUGCGUAGCCGACGCAAGGGGGUGAUCGCCGCCUGUGGAAGUGAGCCGCGGCAUAGACACCGAGGGGAGGCCGAAGCAGGGAAUCUUCCGCAAAGGGCGAAAGCCUGAAGGAGGAACGCAGCGCGAGUGAUGAAGGUCCGCGGAUCGUAAAACGCUGUUAGGAGGGAAGAACAAAUGUGUAAGUAACGAUGCGCGUGUGGACGUAACCGAAACAGAAAGCCACGGUAAAUUACGU
Molecule: ribosomal RNA, 496 nt
Filed under: uncultured bacterium
Lineage: Bacteria
Description: partial 16S ribosomal RNA
Rfam family: Bacterial small subunit ribosomal RNA
Source: RNAcentral